UCUGUGUGGGUUGGAUCUAUUAAUACAAAUGUCUAUAUAUUUAUAUCUAAAUAUUCAUUGUCUGAAAGUCUCCACCAUUUGCUUUCUCUUGUUUUGCAUGUAUAUAUAUAAACAUCUUUUGUAUUUCUUACCUAAACUGUUAUAUUUAAUAGAUCUAAUUUGUUUAUCUGCAUAAUUGCCUCUAUAUCUGCUCAACUGGAUCCCUCUUAUAGCCAUUCUUUACCCCAUGGAAAUGA
Long non-coding RNA from Octopus sinensis (East Asian common octopus), 236 nucleotides. RefSeq lists it as uncharacterized. The transcript has 3 exons. The record is from RefSeq and is a predicted model, not a curated record. NCBI's taxonomy places the organism in Eukaryota, Metazoa, Mollusca, Cephalopoda, Octopoda, Octopodidae.